CACGCACACAGUUAAAGCCUGGCACUGAUGUCGGUGUUUGGGUGUCGGAAGUGUGCUAAAGUGAUUCAGCUGGGUUUUCGCUAACACCAUGAGGGCUGAUGCGCCCUAUGACUGGGGUUUGAUAGUGGCCAGAGCUACAUUC
Megalobrama amblycephala (Wuchang bream) is the source of this 142-nucleotide small nucleolar RNA. NCBI's taxonomy places the organism in Eukaryota, Metazoa, Chordata, Actinopteri, Cypriniformes, Xenocyprididae. The record is from RefSeq and is a predicted model, not a curated record.